GUGAACGCUGGCGGCAGGCCUAACACAUGCAAGUCGAGCGGCAGCGCGGGGGGCAACCCUGGCGGCGAGCGGCGGACGGGUGAGGAAUUCGUCGGAAUCUGCCUUUUUGUGGGGGAUAACGUAGGGAAACUUACGCUAAUACCGCAUACGACCUACGGGUGAAAGUGGGGGACCUUCGGGCCUCACGCAGAAAGAUGAGCCGACGACCGAUUAGCUAGUUGGUAGGGUAAAGGCCUACCAAGGCGACGAUCGGUAGCUG
Molecule: ribosomal RNA, 259 nt
Filed under: uncultured bacterium
Lineage: Bacteria
Description: partial 16S ribosomal RNA
Rfam family: Bacterial small subunit ribosomal RNA
Source: RNAcentral